RNAcentral lists this ribosomal RNA (253 nucleotides) under uncultured bacterium. Its description in RNAcentral is "partial 16S ribosomal RNA". It matches the Rfam family "Bacterial small subunit ribosomal RNA", at positions 524 to 776 of the family's 1533-position model. The record is from RNAcentral.
UACGUAGGGUGCGAGCGUUAAUCGGAAUUACUGGGUGUAAAGCGUGCGCAGGCGGUUCGUUGUGUCCGAUGUGAAAGCCCCGAGCUCAACUUGGGAAUGGCAUUGGAAACUGGCGGGCUGGAGUGUGGCAGAGGGGGGUGGAAUUCCACGUGUAGCAGUGAAAUGCGUAGAGAUGUGGAGGAACACCGAUGGCGAAGGCAGCCCCCUGGGCCAACACUGACGCUCAGGCACGAAAGCGUGGGGAGCAAACAGG